RNAcentral lists this ribosomal RNA (275 nucleotides) under uncultured bacterium. RNAcentral's name for it is "partial 16S ribosomal RNA". It matches the Rfam family "Bacterial small subunit ribosomal RNA", at positions 399 to 691 of the family's 1533-position model. The record is from RNAcentral.
GCGUGAGUGAUGAAGGCCCUAGGGUUGUAAAGCUCUUUUGCCGGGGAAGAUAAUGACGGUACCCGGAGAAUAAGACACGGCUAACUUCGUGCCAGCAGCCGCGGUAAUACGAAGGUGUCUAGCGUUGUUCGGAAUCACUGGGCGUAAAGCGCGCGCAGGCGGACUAUCCAGUCAGGGGUGAAAUCCUGAGGCUUAACCUCAGAAUUGCCUUUGAAACUGAUAGUCUGGAGUGUGUGAGGGGGUAGCGGAAUUCCAAAUGUAGAGGUGAAAUUCGU